Molecule: transfer RNA, 65 nt
Filed under: Halocaridina rubra (Hawaiian volcano shrimp)
Lineage: Eukaryota; Metazoa; Arthropoda; Malacostraca; Decapoda; Atyidae
Description: tRNA-Ala
Source: RNAcentral
AAAGUUAUAGUCAAAUAUGACAUCUGGGUUGCAUUCAGAAAGUACUUAACUCUAAGUUAACUUUG